AACGUAGGAGACGAGCGUUAUCCGGAAUUACUGGGCGUAAAGCGCGUGUAGGCGGAAGUGUAAGUCUUUUGUGAAAGCUCCUGGCUAAACUGGGAGAGGUCGAAAGAUACUGCACAUCUGGAGUAUGGGAGAGGGGUGUGGAAUUCCGGGUGUAGUGGUGAAAUGCGUAGAUAUCCGGAGGAACACCAGUGGCGAAGGCGGCACCCUGGCCCAAGACUGACGCUAAGACGCGAAAGCAUGGGGAGCUAACGGG
Molecule: ribosomal RNA, 253 nt
Filed under: uncultured bacterium
Lineage: Bacteria
Description: partial 16S ribosomal RNA
Rfam family: Bacterial small subunit ribosomal RNA
Source: RNAcentral